Vidua chalybeata is the source of this 654-nucleotide long non-coding RNA. RefSeq lists it as uncharacterized. The record is from RefSeq and is a predicted model, not a curated record. Lineage: Eukaryota; Metazoa; Chordata; Aves; Passeriformes; Viduidae. The transcript has 3 exons.
CCCCGGCACCGCCCUCCGACACCGCCCCGGCACCGCCCCCGACGUACUCCUGCUCCCUCAGGCAACGACUCUUACCGAAAGCCAGCUGGAAGAGCAUCUCUGCACUGCAGUGAAAAGCUGCGGCUCUGGAAAGCUACCAUGUCAAAAACAAGCAGCAAGUACUAAGACUGAAUCACCAGAAAACAGAAGAAGGAAGAACCACCAGGAAGGGACCUGCUCAUGGGCAAGCAAUAGAGGAGAGAUAAGGAAGGUGAAUGACAAUACCAAGCCUUGGAGUCUUUAGAACUGCUGUCUUCUAUGACUUUAUUGUGGGUAUUGGAACAACUCAACACCAAGCAUUUAAAAAUCUCCGUGGAUUUCUGUAUUUAAGUAACUAAAUUCUAAACUAAACUAUAAACCAACACCCCUUUGCCCCGAUUUGUUCUUUCAAAGGUCUGAGCCUCGCUCACGGUUUUGAGCAUCCGAGCUGGUCGCUGUACCGCUCUGUUCAUCUUGACGGAAGGAACUAAGACCUCGCACCCUAGAGCCGGCGGGAGCUCACCGGCAGUCGCCGUGCCGGCAGGACCUGCCUUGGGCGGGCAGCCCGGGUGCGGCAGGUGCGGACGGAGAAGCGGGAGGCUCCCGCCGCCGGGGCUGCGCGGCUGCGGCGGGGCC